This 410-nucleotide long non-coding RNA is filed under the name Salvator merianae (Argentine black and white tegu). Its description in RNAcentral is "lncRNA (ENSSMRG00000000970.1)". The record is from RNAcentral. Lineage: Eukaryota; Metazoa; Chordata; Lepidosauria; Squamata; Teiidae.
ACUUUAUCCUAUACUCAGCAUCUUCUGGCCUGGACUGCAGAUGGCAGGUAUUUAACACUGUUUGACAGGAGUGGAUGCCUACCAGACGGUUCACCUCUUCAGAACAGAGCCCAUUUUACUUCAUUACUCAAACAACUUCAUUGGAUUGCAGUUCAACUCUGAGCCACAUUUCAGAUUUUGUGGUCAUCAUAUAAUCUCCCUGCAUGGUUGCAUCUUGUUCUCUAGAAAAUAUCCUGGAAGCAGGCAUAUGAUUGCAGAAGAUAGACAUACAGAAGAUUGCAGAGCAAUGGGAGAUCCCACUGAAUGAAUGAAAACUUCAGUAACGCAGCCUUUGAACUCACCUUCUCAGUUUUCUAUGGGCGGUGUUCUUAAAGCCAGCCCACCCAGCAGAGCUUGUCCUAGCAUGGGGA